AGCGAACGCUGGCGGCGUGCUUAACACAUGCAAGUCGAGCGAAGGUGUUUCAAGGGUAACCUUGAGAUACACUUAGCGGCGGACGGGUGAGUAAUACGUGGAUAACUUACCUCUAGGCCUGGGAUAACCCCGGGAAACUGGGGCUAAUACCUGAUAAGACCACAUUGUCUACGGACAAAGGGGUAAAAGGUGGCUGUGCAAACAGCUAUCGCCAAAAGAUAGGUUCACGUCCCAUCAGGCAGUUGGCGAGGUAAUGGCUCACCAAACCAAAGACGGGUAGCCGGCCUUGGCGGGUGAACGGCCACACGGGGACUGAGACACGGCCCCGACUCCUACGGGAGGCAGCAGUGGGGAAUAUUGGGCAAUGGGCGCAAGCCUGACCCAGCGACGCCGCGUUGGGGAAGAAGGCCUUCGGGUUGUAAACCC
RNAcentral lists this ribosomal RNA (426 nucleotides) under uncultured bacterium. Its description in RNAcentral is "bacterial SSU rRNA". It matches the Rfam family "Bacterial small subunit ribosomal RNA", at positions 29 to 432 of the family's 1533-position model. The record is from RNAcentral.